GGGCGUGGUCUAGGGAGGAGAGGGAGGAGCUCGCGGCCGCCUCCGCCUUCGCCUCCGCCUCCCGCGGGAGGGGGGUCGAGGGAGGGGACUGUUGCCGAUCUCUAGAUGUUCUGGGUAGUCUGAGGAGAGUAUGAGGCGAGCCGUGGCCCGGGUACCUCUCCGCUCCCGGGGAGAAGGCGCGGCCGUGGCUGCCGCCCUCUGAGUCGCGGCGCCGGCGAGGCCCCGGGGCGCGCGCAUGGUGCUGGUGCCGCUCGGGUGUUGAUCGGCCUGUCCCCUCCCUCUCUUCCCCUCCCCACCCCCCGCGGUGGUCUCCCCUUUCCCACCCCAGCCCCUGCGGAGCCAUGGCUCGGAGUGGCUCCUGCCCGCACCUGUUGUGGGACGUGAGGAAAAGGUCCCUUGGGCUGGAGGACCCGUCCCGGCUGAGGAGCCGCUACCUGGGAAGAAGAGAAUUUAUCCAAAGAUUAAAACUUGAAGCAACUUUAAAUGUGCAUGAUGGCUGUGUUAAUACAAUCUGUUGGAAUGACACUGGAGAAUAUAUUUUAUCUGGCUCUGAUGACACUAAACUUGUAAUUAGUAAUCCAUACAGCAGAAAGGUUUUGACAACCAUCCGUUCAGGGCAUCGAGCAAAUAUAUUUAGUGCAAAGUUUUUGCCGUGCACAGAUGAUAAGCAGAUUGUGUCUUGCUCUGGAGAUGGAGUCAUAUUUUAUACUAACAUUGAGCAAGAUGCAGAAACUAACAGACAGUGCCAAUUUACGUGCCAUUAUGGAACUACUUAUGAGAUUAUGACUGUACCAAACGACCCUUACACCUUUCUGUCCUGUGGUGAAGAUGGAACUGUUAGGUGGUUUGACACACGCAUCAAAACCAGUUGCACAAAAGAAGACUGUAAAGAUGAUAUUUUAAUCAACUGUAGGCGUGCUGCCACAUCUGUGGCUAUUUGUCCCCCAGUACCAUAUUACCUUGCUGUGGGUUGUUCUGACAGCUCAGUACGGAUUUAUGAUCGGCGAAUGCUGGGCACAAGAGCUACAGGGAAUUAUGCAGGCCGAGGAACUACUGGAAUGGUUGCUCGAUUUAUACCUUCUCAUCUUAGUAACAAAUCAUGCAGAGUGACAUCACUGUGUUACAGUGAAGAUGGUCAAGAGAUUCUUGUCAGUUAUUCUUCAGACUACAUCUAUCUUUUUGACCCCAAAGAUGAUACUGCACGAGAACUUAAAACUCCUUCUGCAGAGGAGAGGCGAGAAGAGUUACGACAGCCUCCAGUUAAGCGCUUGAGACUUCGUGGUGAUUGGUCAGAUACUGGUCCCAGAGCACGGCCAGAAAGUGAACGAGAACGAGAUGGAGAGCAAAGUCCCAAUGUGUCACUGAUGCAGAGAAUGUCUGAUAUGUUAUCAAGGUGGUUUGAAGAAGCAAGUGAAGUUGCACAAAGCAACAGAGGAAGAGGAAGACCUCGGCCCAGAGGUGGAACAAAUCAGCCAGAUGUUUCAACUCUUCCUACGGUUCCAUCAAGUCCUAAUUUGGAAGUGUGUGAAACUGCAAUGGAUGUAGACAUGCCAGCUGCACUUCUUCAGCCUUCUACAUCCUCUACAGAUCCAGUUCAGGCUCAGGCAGCCACAGCCGCCAUAGAAAGCCCUCGUUCCAGCUCGUUGCUGUCUUGCCCAGACAGUGAACCGAGGCAGUCUGUUGAGGCGUCUGGACACCAUGCACAUCAUCAGUCAGAAUUUUUAAGGGGGCCUGAGAUAGCUUUGCUCCGUAAGCGCCUGCAGCAGCUGAGGCUUAAGAAGGCUGAGCAGCAGAGGCAGCAAGAGCUAGCACAGGCCCAGCAUCAGCCUCCCACUUCCACUUCUGAUCCUCCUCCUCACGAGGGCUCUUCACGGGACCCUCGAGCUUCAGAUUCUCCUUCUUCUGUGGUUAACAAACAGCUGGGAUCCAUGUCACUUGAUGAGCAACAGGAUAACAGUAAUGAGAGGCUGAGCCCCAAACCAGGGACAGGUGAACCCGUUUUAAGUUUGCACUACAGCACAGAAGGAACAACUACAAGCACAAUAAAACUGAACUUUACAGAUGAAUGGAGCAGUACAGCCUCAAGUUCCAGAGGAAAUGGGAGCCAUUGCAAAUCUGAGGGUCAGGAAGAAUGCUUGGUCCCUCCGAGCUCUGUGCAGCCACCGGAAGGAGACAGUGAAACAAGAGCUCCUGAAGAACUAUCAGAGAAAGGAACACUUCCAGAAAACCUCACUCAAAACCAGAUAGAUACAGCACAACUUGAUAACUUCCCAGCUGAGCCAUUGGAUUCUAACUCAGGAGAGAAGAAUAACCCAAGUCAGGACAGCCCUUGUGGGCUUCCAGAAGAAGGCACUUUGUCUGAAACAGACAGGGAGACUUGUGAGCAGGCCAGCACUGAGAGUGCUACCAGGCAUGCUAGCACCAAGCCUGAACUCCCAUCCCAGACAGAAGCCAUUGAGCAGGCCAGCACUGAGAGUGCUACCAGGCAUACCAGUGCCAAUCCUGAACUCCCAUCCCAGACAGAAGCCAUAGCACCUUUAGCUCAUGAAGACCCAUCUGCCAGGGACUCUGCUCUCCAGGACACAGAUGACAGCGAUGAUGAUCCGGUCUUGAUCCCUGGUGCAAGAUACCGAACAGGACCUGGUGAUAGAUUUAAUAUCAGAGGAACUACAGUAGGUGAUAGAAUAAUGAGACGCUCCGCUGUUGCCCGCAUUCAGGAGUUCUUCAGGAGGAGAAAAGAAAGGAAAGAAAUGGAAGAGCUGGAUACUUUGAACAUUAGGAGGCCACUAGUAAAGAUGGUUUAUAAGGGCCACCGCAACUCCCGGACAAUGGUACCGGCUGCUCGUGGCAUUCUUUGAUGAGAUUGCAGUUCGUGGUUUGUCUGUGAUAAAAGAAGCCAAUUUCUGGGGUGCUAACUUUGUAAUGAGCGGUUCCGAUUGUGGCCAUAUCUUCAUCUGGGACCGGCACACUGCUGAGCAUUUGAUGCUUCUGGAAGCUGAUAAUCAUGUGGUCAACUGCCUGCAGCCCCAUCCGUUUGACCCAAUUCUAGCCUCAUCUGGCAUAGAUUAUGACAUAAAGAUCUGGUCGCCACUAGAAGAGUCAAGAAUUUUUAAUCGAAAACUUGCUGAUGAAGUUAUAACUCGGAAUGAACUCAUGCUGGAAGAGACUCGGAACACCAUCACCGUCCCAGCCUCUUUCAUGUUGAGGAUGUUGGCGUCACUGAAUCAUAUCCGAGCUGACCGUCUGGAGGGUGACAGAUCAGAAGGUUCAGGUCAGGAGAAUGAAAAUGAGGAUGAAGAAUAAAGAACUCCUUGGCAAGCACUUAGAUGUUCUGAGAUUUGUAUACGACAUUUAUUAUAUUUUUUUUCUUUACAGAACUUUAGUGCAAUUUAAGGCUAUGGGUUUUUUUUUUUUUUUUUUUUUUUUGGAGUUCUUCCCUAUUUUGGGGAUAACCAAACAUUGGUUUGGAAUGAGUGUGUGCAUGAGUUGGGAGAGUGUGUAAAACAAAGUAAGCAAAAUGUUUUUUGAAACCUUUUGCCGUGUAUGGAGUCCAAAAAAAAAAAAAAAAAAAAAAAAAAAGCAAAGUGCAAUACUUCCUGACCCUCCGCUGUGGGAGCUUGGAUCAAUGCUGAAGUCAUUUUCAUUGUAGUGAAAAUGUUGGUUCAAAUAAAUUUCUACACUUGCCAUUUGCAUGUUUGUUGCUUUCUAAUUAAAGAUGUUGGUUGCUUUAAGAUAUCCUAAA
Mus musculus (house mouse) is the source of this 3742-nucleotide RNA transcript. It is a transcript of the gene named DDB1 and CUL4 associated factor 6, with no coding region annotated. The record is from RefSeq and is marked validated. The transcript has 22 exons. Lineage: Eukaryota; Metazoa; Chordata; Mammalia; Rodentia; Muridae.